AGAGUUUGAUCCUGGCUCAGAACAAACGCUGGCGGAGUGCUUAAUACAUGCAAGUCGUGCGAGAAAGUCGCCUUCGGGUGGCGAGUAGAGCGGCGAACGGGUGAGUAACACGUAAGCAACCUACCUCUAAAUCUGGGAUAACCUUGCCAACGCGGGGCUAAUACCGGAUACCGUUUUUGUGUCACAUGGUGCAAAAAUGAAAGAUGACCUCUUCUUGAAAGUUAUUGUUUAGAGAUGGGCUUGCGGUCCAUUAGCUUGUUGGUAGGGUAAUGGCCUACCAAGGCAAUGAUGGAUAGCCGACCUGAGAGGGUGAUCGGCCACAUUGGGACUGAGAUACGGCCCAGACUUCUACGGGAGGCAGCAGUAGGGAAUUUUGCGCAAUGGACGAAAGUCUGACGCAGCAACUCCGCGUGAGGGAUGAAUGCCUUCGGGUUGUAAACCUCUGUUGAGUGGGAAGAAAAAUUUUAUUGCUAAUAUCAAUAAAACAUGACGGUACCAUUCGAGGAAGCUCCGGCUAACUACGUGCCAGCAGCCGCGGUAAUACGUAGGGAGCUAGCGUUGUUCGGAAUUACUGGGCGUAAAGGGAGUGUAGGCGGAAAAGUAAGUUAGAAGUGAAAUGUAUCGGCUCAACCGAUAACCUGCUUUUAAUACUGCUUUUCUUGAGUAUGGGAGAGGAAGAUGGAAUUCCAGGUGUAGCGGUGGAAUGCGUAGAUAUCUGGAAGAACACCAGUUGCGAAGGCGGUCUUCUGGCCCAAUACUGACGCUGAGGCUCGAAAGCUAGGGGAGCGAACAGGAUUAGAUACCCUGGUAGUCCUAGCCGUAAACGAUGGACACUAGAUGCUGGGAACGAUUAGUUUUCGGUGUCGAAGCUAACGCAUUAAGUGUCCCGCCUGGGGAGUACGCUCGCAAGUGUGAAACUCAAAGGAAUUGACGGGGGCCCGCACAAGCGGUGGAGCAUGUGCUUUAAUUCGAUGCAACGCGAAGAACCUUACCUGGUCUUGACAUGGGAGUGAAAGUCUUUAGAGAUAAAGACCUUCCCUUCGGGGACACUCUACACAGGUGCUGCAUGGUUGUCGUCAGCUCGUGUCGUGAGAUGUUGGGUUAAGUCCCGCAACGAGCGCAACCCCUGUCCUUAGUUGCCAUCAGGUCAAGCUGGGAACUCUAAGGAGACUGCCUGGAUUAACCAGGAGGAAGGUGGGGAUGACGUCAAAUCCU
Molecule: ribosomal RNA, 1215 nt
Filed under: metagenome
Description: bacterial SSU rRNA
Rfam family: Bacterial small subunit ribosomal RNA
Source: RNAcentral